RNAcentral lists this ribosomal RNA (417 nucleotides) under uncultured bacterium. RNAcentral's name for it is "bacterial SSU rRNA". It matches the Rfam family "Bacterial small subunit ribosomal RNA", at positions 355 to 775 of the family's 1533-position model. The record is from RNAcentral.
UGGGGAAUAUUGCGCAAUGGGCGAAAGCCUGACGCAGCGACGCCGCGUGUGGGAUGACGGCCUUCGGGUUGUAAACCACUGUCGGGAGGGACGAAUGCCCCGCAAGGGGAGUGACGGUACCUCCAAAGGAAGCACCGGCUAACUCCGUGCCAGCAGCCGCGGUAAUACGGAGGGUGCGAGCGUUGUCCGGAAUCACUGGGCGUAAAGGGCGCGUAGGCGGCCUGAUAAGUAGGGGGUGAAAUCCUGCGGCUUAACCGCAGGGCUGCCUUCUAAACUGUCGGGCUCGAGCACGGUAGAGGCAGAUGGAAUUCCCGGUGUAGCGGUGGAAUGCGUAGAGAUCGGGAAGAACAUCAGUGGCGAAGGCGGUCUGCUGGGCCGUUGCUGACGCUGAGGCGCGACAGCGUGGGGAGCAAACAG